CCUACGGGUGGCAGCAGCGGGGAAUAUUGGACAAUGGGGGGAACCCUGAUCCAGCCAUGCCGCGUGUGUGAAGAAGGCCCUCGGGUUGUAAAGCACUUUCAGUGAGGAAGAACGCCUGGUGGUUAAUACCCAUCAGGAAAGACAUCACUCACAGAAGAAGCACCGGCUAACUCCGUGGCCAGCAGCCGCGGUAAUACGGAGGGUGCGAGCGUUAAUCGGAAUUACUGGGCGUAAAGCGCGCGUAGGUGGCUUGAUAAGCCGGUUGUGAAAGCCCCGGGCUCAACCUGGGAACGGCAUCCGGAACUGUCAAGCUAGAGUGCAGGAGAGGAAGGUAGAAUUCCCGGUGUAGCGGUGAAAUGCGUAGAGAUCGGGAGGAAUACCAGUGGCGAAGGCGGCCUUCUGGACUGACACUGACACUGAGGUGCGAAAGCGUGGGUAGCAAACAGGAUUAGAUACCCUUGUAGUC
RNAcentral lists this ribosomal RNA (466 nucleotides) under Vreelandella stevensii. RNAcentral describes it as "partial 16S ribosomal RNA". It matches the Rfam family "Bacterial small subunit ribosomal RNA", at positions 338 to 795 of the family's 1533-position model. Lineage: Bacteria; Pseudomonadati; Pseudomonadota; Gammaproteobacteria; Oceanospirillales; Halomonadaceae. The record is from RNAcentral.